Molecule: unclassified non-coding RNA, 1092 nt
Filed under: Hevea brasiliensis (rubber tree)
Lineage: Eukaryota; Viridiplantae; Streptophyta; Magnoliopsida; Malpighiales; Euphorbiaceae
Source: RNAcentral
CAAGAAAAUACCAUUUCUUUUUUUCUAAUGUGUAGAAGUGAACAAUCAUACAUAAGAAAUGAAACAACAUAUUCUCUUGGUACUAUUUCUUUUGGACAUUACAAAUAUUUGGUAAUUUUAGAAGCCAGAAAGGCUACUUAAGUACUUCCUUGCAAGACAAGAUCCAAUGAUCUACAAUACCAAGUGCAGAAUUAAGUACAACCAUCAUUUUUUGGUCUAAACUGAAUUAAACUCAUCGAGAAGAAAAAAAAUUCCUUCCAUCCAAACAAAAGAAACAAACCGGGAAAUGUAGAGCAGUUGUGAUGCAUACUGCAAGUUUAGUCCUGGUACUUCAUCUCGGACAUCUUGAACCCAGGCAUGUCAAAAGAGGCUGAGAAUUUCUCGACAUCAACCUUAAGUUCUUCAAUUUCCUUGUUGUUAACGAGACCCUUGUUGAAGUCCUUCAAAAGCUUUCCGAACUCCUUCUGGAUGUUCAAGGUGAUUGUAACAGCCCUGUGGAGGAACUCCGCGAUCUGCUCAAAGUCCUUCUCAACCAAUCCCCUUGAUGUCAUGGCAGGAGUACCAAUACGAACACCUCCUGGGGCCAAAGCACUGCUGUCUCCGAAAACAGCGUUCUUGUUAACAGUGAUGUUGCAAAGGUCACAAAGCUUCUCAACCUUGUUACCAGUCAAACCAAGAGGUCUAAGAUCCCAAAGGACAAGGUGGUUCUCAGUCCCACCAGUUACAAGUUUGUAUCCUUUGCUCAUCAGGUAGUCACCGAGAGCAACUGCAUUGGCCUUCACUUGCUUAGCAUAAGCCUUGAAUCCAGGAGUCGCAGCCUGUUUCAGGGCAACAGCAAGAGCGCCGAUUUGGUGGUUGUGAGGACCACCCUGGAGAGAGGGGAAAACAGCAAAGUUAAUCUUGUCUUCAAAGCCAUAAACUGCAUCUUCAGGCUGGCCCUUCUUUGGUGGCUUAGGGCCCUUGCGGUAGAAAAUCAUACCAGCUCUUGGACCCCUCAAACUCUUGUGUGUGGUGGUAGUAACCAAGUCACAAUAUUCAAAGGGAUUCGCUGCUUCCUGAGCAGCAACAAGACCACUAAUGUGAGCCAUAUCA